GUAUAGGGGAGCCGUAGGGAAACCGAGUCUUAACCGGGCGUUAAGUUGCAGGGUAUAGACCCGAAACCCGGUGAUCUAGCCAUGGGCAGGUUGAAGGUUGGGUAACACUAACUGGAGGACCGAACCGACUAAUGUUGAAAAAUUAGCGGAUGACCUGUGGCUGGGGGUGAAAGGCCAAUCAAACCGGGAGAUAGCUGGUUCUCCCCGAAAGCUAUUUAGGUAGCGCCUCGUGAAUUCAUCUCCGGGGGUAGAGCACUGUUUCGGCUAGGGGGCCAUCCCGGCUUACCAACCCGAUGCAAACUGCGAAUACCGGAGAAUGUUAUCACGGGAGACACACGGCGGGUGCUAACGUCCGUCGUGAAGAGGGAAACAACCCAGACCGCCAGCUAAGGUCCCAAAGUCAUGGUUAAGUGGGAAACGAUGUGGGAAGGCCCAGACAGCCAGGAUGUUGGCUUAGAAGCAGCCAUCAUUUAAAGAAAGCGUAAUAGCUCACUGGUCGAGUCGGCCUGCGCGGAAGAUGUAACGGGGCUAAACCAU
Molecule: ribosomal RNA, 537 nt
Filed under: Salmonella enterica
Lineage: Bacteria; Pseudomonadati; Pseudomonadota; Gammaproteobacteria; Enterobacterales; Enterobacteriaceae
Also listed under: 1 other name
Description: partial 23S ribosomal RNA
Rfam family: Bacterial large subunit ribosomal RNA
Source: RNAcentral